RNAcentral lists this ribosomal RNA (231 nucleotides) under uncultured Sphingobacteriales bacterium. RNAcentral describes it as "partial 16S ribosomal RNA". It matches the Rfam family "Bacterial small subunit ribosomal RNA", at positions 103 to 334 of the family's 1533-position model. The record is from RNAcentral. Lineage: Bacteria; Pseudomonadati; Bacteroidota; Sphingobacteriia; Sphingobacteriales.
CGGGUGCGUAACGCGUGAGCAACCUACCUCUAUCAGGGGGAUAGCCUCUCGAAAGAGAGAUUAACACCGCAUAAUAUAUCUGACCGGCAUCGGUUAGUUAUUAAAUAUUUAUAGGAUAGAGAUGGGCUCGCGUGACAUUAGCUAGUUGGUAGGGUAACGGCUUACCAAGGCGACGAUGUCUAGGGGCUCUGAGAGGAGAAUCCCCCACACUGGUACUGAGACACGGACCAG